RNAcentral lists this ribosomal RNA (460 nucleotides) under uncultured bacterium. RNAcentral describes it as "partial 16S ribosomal RNA". It matches the Rfam family "Bacterial small subunit ribosomal RNA", at positions 338 to 795 of the family's 1533-position model. The record is from RNAcentral.
CCUACGGGUGGCAGCAGUGAGGAAUAUUGGUCAAUGGCCGUAAGGCUGAACCAGCCAAGUAGCGUGAGGGAAGACUGCCCUAUGGGUUGUAAACCUCUUUUAUGCGGGGAUAAAGGUGUCCACGUGUGGAUGUUUGCAGGUACCGCAUGAAUAAGGACCGGCUAAUUCCGUGCCAGCAGCCGCGGUAAUACGGAAGGUCCGGGCGUUAUCCGGAUUUAUUGGGUUUAAAGGGAGCGUAGGUGGAUUGUUAAGUCAGUUGUGAAAGUUUGCGGCUCAACCGUAAAAUUGCAGUUGAAACUGGCAGUCUUGAGUACAGUAGAGGUGGGCGGAAUUCGUGGUGUAGCGGUGAAAUGCUUAGAUAUCACGAAGAACUCCGAUUGCGAAGGCAGUUCACUGGACUGCAACUGACACUGAGGCUCGAAAGUGUGGGUAUCAAACAGGAUUAGAUACCCCUGUAGUC